GACAUCUAUAGUCGAAACACAUUCGCUUUUGUACCUUUGAAUUUCCAAUGACGUCAUUUUUACUUCUGCGUUGUCAUUGAUUGACCAAAAAUAAUUAGUAUGUCUGGUUUUGUAAAUACACCAAUGGGAGUCGAGGGCAACAAAAACGCGCGAAAAAAUACGCCUUUGGAAAAAGGGCUUAAUAUCGCAUACCUUUUCUACAAAUCGGAAAACGCCUGUAAGCAGUGCUUCACUGUUUUAUAUUUAUAUAAAUUAGCUUAACAUAAUUUAUGAUAGCGGAUAGCAAGAUUUUGGAUAUUUAUAAUUUUUCACGACGCGAGUGGAAACUGUAAUGUGAGGUUAUGAAGUUAUGUACCCAAAUAAAUAAUGCGAAUGAAGACGA
Long non-coding RNA from Cydia amplana, 382 nucleotides. RefSeq lists it as uncharacterized. The transcript is spliced from 2 exons. The record is from RefSeq and is a predicted model, not a curated record. NCBI's taxonomy places the organism in Eukaryota, Metazoa, Arthropoda, Insecta, Lepidoptera, Tortricidae.